CCUACGGGAGGCAGCAGUGAGGAAUAUUGGACAAUGGACGAGAGUCUGAACCAGCCAAGUAGCGUGAAGGAUGACUGCCCUAUGGGUUGUAAACGUCUUUUAUAUGGGAAUAAAAUGGUCCACGGGUGGGAUUUUGUAUGUACCAUAUGAAUAAGGAUCGGCUUACUCCGUGCCAGCAGCCGCGGUAAGACGGAGGAUCCGAGCGUUAUCCGGAUUGAUUGGGUUUAAAGGGAGCGUGGGUGGAUUGUUAAGUUAGUUAGGAAAGUUUGCGGCUCAAACGUCAAAUUGCAGUUGAUACUAGCAGUCUAGAGUACAGUAGAGGUGGGCGGAAUUCGUGGUGUAGCGGUGAAAUGCUUAGAUAUAACGAAGAACACCGAUUGCGAAGGCAGCUCACUGGACUGCAACUGACACUGAGGCUCGAAAGUGUGGGUAUCAAACAGGAUUAGAUACCCGGGUAGUC
Molecule: ribosomal RNA, 460 nt
Filed under: uncultured bacterium
Lineage: Bacteria
Description: partial 16S ribosomal RNA
Rfam family: Bacterial small subunit ribosomal RNA
Source: RNAcentral